This 301-nucleotide ribosomal RNA is filed under the name uncultured bacterium. RNAcentral describes it as "partial 16S ribosomal RNA". It matches the Rfam family "Bacterial small subunit ribosomal RNA", at positions 509 to 809 of the family's 1533-position model. The record is from RNAcentral.
CAGCAGCCACGGGAAUACAGAGGGUGCGAGCGUUAAUCGGAUUUACUGGGCGUAAAGCGUGCGUAGGCGGCUUUUUAAGUCGGAUGUGAAAUCCCUGAGCUUAACUUAGGAAUUGCAUUCGAUACUGGGAAGCUAGAGUAUGGGAGAGGAUGGUAGAAUUCCAGGUGUAGCGGUGAAAUGCGUAGAGAUCUGGAGGAAUACCGAUGGCGAAGGCAGCCAUCUGGCCUAAUACUGACGCUGAGGUACGAAAGCAUGGGGAGCAAACAGGAUUAGAUACCCCUGUAGUCCCUGUCUCUUAUAA